AUUGAACGCUGGCGGCAGGCCUAACACAUGCAAGUCGAGCGGAUGAAGGGAGCUUGCUCCUGGAUUCAGCGGCGGACGGGUGAGUAAUGCCUAGGAAUCUGCCUGGUAGUGGGGGAUAACGUCCGGAAACGGGCGCUAAUACCGCAUACGUCCUGAGGGAGAAAGUGGGGGAUCGUCGGACCUCACGCUAUCAGAUGAGCCUAGGUCGGAUUAGCUAGUUGGUGGGGUAAAGGCCUACCAAGGCGACGAUCCGUAACUGGUCUGAGAGGAUGAUCAGUCACACUGGAACUGAGCCACGGUCCAGACUCCUACGGGAGGCAGCAGUGGGGAAUAUUGGACAAUGGGCGAAAGCCUGAUCCAGCCAUGCCGCGUGUGUGAAGAAGGUCUUCGGAUUGUAAAGCACUUUAAGUUGGGAGGAAGGGCAGUAAGUUAAUACCUUGCUGUUUUGACGGUACCAACAGAAUAAGCACCGGCUAACUUCGUG
This 484-nucleotide ribosomal RNA is filed under the name uncultured bacterium. Its description in RNAcentral is "partial 16S ribosomal RNA". It matches the Rfam family "Bacterial small subunit ribosomal RNA", at positions 30 to 507 of the family's 1533-position model. The record is from RNAcentral.